GAUGAACGCUGGCGGCGUGCCUAAUACAUGCAAGUCGAGCGAACAGACGAGGAGCUUGCUCCUCUGACGUUAGCGGCGGACGGGUGAGUAACACGUGGAUAGCCUACCUAUAAGACUGGGAUAACUUCGGGAAACCGGAUCUAAUACCGGAUAAUAUAUUGAACCGCAUGGUUCAAUAGUUAAAGACGGUUUUGCUGUCACUUAUAGAUGGAUCCGCGCCGCAUUAGCUAGUUGGUAAGGUAACGGCUUACCAAGGCAACGAUGCGUAGCCGACCUGAGAGGGUGAUCGGCCACACUGGAACUGAGACACGGUCCAGACUCCUACGGGAGGCAGCAGUAGGGAAUCUUCCGCAAUGGGCGAAGGCCUGACGGAGCAACGCCGCGUGAGUGAUGAAGGUCUUCGGAUCGUAAAACUCUGUUAUUAGGGAAGAACAAAUGUGUAAGUAACUAUGCACGUCUUGACGGUACCUAAUCAGAAAGCCACGGCUAACUACGUG
Molecule: ribosomal RNA, 497 nt
Filed under: uncultured bacterium
Lineage: Bacteria
Description: partial 16S ribosomal RNA
Rfam family: Bacterial small subunit ribosomal RNA
Source: RNAcentral